Molecule: ribosomal RNA, 700 nt
Filed under: Mycetocola sp.
Lineage: Bacteria; Bacillati; Actinomycetota; Actinomycetes; Micrococcales; Microbacteriaceae
Description: bacterial SSU rRNA
Rfam family: Bacterial small subunit ribosomal RNA
Source: RNAcentral
ACAUGCAGUCGAACGAUGAUCCAGAGCUUGCUCUGGGGAUUAGUGGCGAACGGGUGAGUAACACGUGAGUAACCUGCCCUUGACUCUGGGAUAAGCGUUGGAAACGACGUCUAAUACCGGAUACGACCAGCCCCGGCAUCGGGUGUUGGUGGAAAGAAUUUUGGUCAAGGAUGGACUCGCGGCCUAUCAGGUAGUUGGUGAGGUAAUGGCUCACCAAGCCUACGACGGGUAGCCGGCCUGAGAGGGUGACCGGCCACACUGGGACUGAGACACGGCCCAGACUCCUACGGGAGGCAGCAGUGGGGAAUAUUGCACAAUGGGCGAAAGCCUGAUGCAGCAACGCCGCGUGAGGGACGACGGCCUUCGGGUUGUAAACCUCUUUUAGCAGGGAAGAAGCGAAAGUGACGGUACCUGCAGAAAAAGCACCGGCUAACUACGUGCCAGCAGCCGCGGUAAUACGUAGGGUGCAAGCGUUGUCCGGAAUUAUUGGGCGUAAAGAGCUCGUAGGCGGUUUGUCGCGUCUGCUGUGAAAACCCGAGGCUCAACCUCGGGCCUGCAGUGGGUACGGGCAGACUAGAGUGCGGUAGGGGAGAUUGGAAUUCCUGGUGUAGCGGUGGAAUGCGCAGAUAUCAGGAGGAACACCGAUGGCGAAGGCAGAUCUCUGGGCCGUAACUGACGCUGAGGAGCGAAAGGGUGGGGA